CUGCUACCAACCUCUGGGCUGCAGCAGUGUAUUGUCCAUAACCCAAAUAAGCUUUUGAUCCCACAAAAGGAAUCUGGAAAUAAAUCAUGGGGCAGAUGUUUUGACCUUCACAUCAGUGGAUAUUUUUCUAGGUAUUUUGCUUUUCAGGAAAGCAGAGUCUUGAUGAUAUAUCUAGUGACUCAACUUAUAAACAGGAAGCCAAAGCAAGGUGCCUAA
RNAcentral lists this long non-coding RNA (216 nucleotides) under Macaca mulatta (Rhesus monkey). Its description in RNAcentral is "lncRNA (ENSMMUG00000053596.1)". The record is from RNAcentral. Lineage: Eukaryota; Metazoa; Chordata; Mammalia; Primates; Cercopithecidae.